Molecule: long non-coding RNA, 251 nt
Filed under: Calidris pygmaea (Spoon-billed sandpiper)
Lineage: Eukaryota; Metazoa; Chordata; Aves; Charadriiformes; Scolopacidae
Description: lncRNA (ENSCPGG00000011831.1)
Source: RNAcentral
CAUAACUGCCACGUAUUAUUUUUAUUAAUUCCACAUAAGCUAUUUUGAUCAGACUCUUCAGCUGCAGAGCCAUCAGGAGAUCUCACAGCAGGCAACUGCAGAGGAGAGAUUGGAGAUUUACAUGCAGAAAAUCUUUCCUUCCUCAAGAAAUCCAACAAAGAAUCCUUGUAAGCACCAGGUGCAAGAAAACCAAGGUUUCCUUCUAGCUUAGAAGACACCGAGCUCCUUUUUGCAACGUGGUGUGUUGGUGA